UGUAGCACACCAUCUGAUUUUACUAAAUGUUUAAUUGGUUACUCUUCUAGCUGCUUUUCAAAGCCCAACAACAUCAGCUCUCAUCAUCAUAUUGAGUUUUUAUCAUUUAUCCACGUAGACAAUUAUCAUUUUCCGUUGCUUCUCAUCUCCUCAUUGGUUGAUCUAGUUUCUUUUCUUUUUAAUCACCAUAGUCUUCAGUUCUCAAUUAAUCAAGUUACAACUCAGUCAAACCAUUUUAUAAUCUAUUUUAAUUUUGUUAAUUUUGUCAAUUUUAUCAUUGUUUAUCAAAAGUCUAACUCUAGUCUAACCUUUAAGAAAUAAAGUUGCUCAUAAAUCUAUAGUUGCCAUGAUUCCAAUAGGGCUUUUAUUAAUCUUUCUUGUUCUCGGUUGUAUCGGUUUCUUUGCCUACAAGUUGAUACAAUCUUUACAGGAAAAGGAGAAACGAAAGGAGGAAAAGAAAAAAUUAAAGCAACAAAAGAAGGAUCCAGCAGUGGCAGCUAAGAAGAAAAAGUGACCAUGAUACUGAUAACGUUAAUUUGAAAGUUAGGAUAAGCAUUUUCUUGACACUUCAAGUUCUUCCAAAAUUUAAUAUUUCAAAUACAAGUUAUAGCUGAUUUAGACGAAUUUAUAAAUAUAUUUAAAGAGAGGGUAUAUGGAAACAAAAUCAUGUGGCGAAUGUGAUAUUUUAACAAGAAUACGAUAAAAUUAUUCAACUUCCAAUCAACACCAUUGAUCAACAAUUAUCCAAGGAAAACCAAAUGCUAAUGAAUUUGUUAUGAAUGGCGAUAUUGUUGAUACUGAAUACAUUCCAGCCAAAAACGUUUAUGGCCAAUAAAUUUUAAUAAUCACUUUUUAA
Tetranychus urticae (two-spotted spider mite) is the source of this 856-nucleotide non-coding RNA. Lineage: Eukaryota; Metazoa; Arthropoda; Arachnida; Trombidiformes; Tetranychidae. The record is from RefSeq and is a predicted model, not a curated record.